AGUCGAACGGCAACACGGACUUCGGUCUGGUGGCGAGUGGCGAACGGGUGAGAGUAAUGUAUCAGACGGUACCUAAUGCCUUUGAGGAUAACUACGCGAAAGCCCAGCAGCUAAUACCGCAUACGCCCUUCGGGGAAAGCAGGGGGACGCUGGGCUCGCACUAUUACAGAGCGGCCGAUAUCGGAUUGGCCUAGUUGGUGGGGGUAACGGCUCGCAGAGGGCGACGAUCCGUAGCUGGUUUAGAGAGGACGACCAGCCACACUGGGACUGAGACACGGCCCAGACUCCUACGGGGAGAGCUGACAGGUGGGAAUUUCCGGACAAUGGGGAAACCUGAUCCAGCCAUCCCGCGUGUGCGAUGAAGGCCUUCGGGUUGUAAAGCACUUUUGGCAGGAAAAGAAACGGCACAGGAUAAUACCCCACACGGCGCAGCCCAAUGGUGCCUGCAGAAUAAGCACCGGCUAACUACGUGCCAGCAGCCGCGGGUAAUACGUAGGAGGUGCAAGCGUUAAUCGGAAUUACUGGGCGUAAAGCGUGCGCAGGCGGUUCGGGAAAGAAGAUGUGAAAUCCCAGGCUUAACUUUGAACUGCAUUUUUAACUACCGAGCUAGAGUGUGUCAGAGGAGGUGGAAUUCCGCCGAUAAUAACAGUGAAAUGCGUAGAUAUGCGGAGAAACACACCGAUGGCGAAGGCAGCCUCCUGGGAUAACACUGACGCUCCAUGCGAAAGCGUGGGAACAAGGCAGAGUUGGAGUACCCUGGUAGUCCACGCCCUAAACGAUGUCAACUAGCUGUUGGGGCCUUCGGGCCUUGUUAGCGCGGCGCUAACGUGAAGUUGACGCACGGAGUACAGUCGCAAGAUUAAAACUCAAAGGAAUUGACGGGAUUGCCGCAAGCCGGUGGAUGAUGUGGAUUAAUUCGAUGCAACGCGAAAAACCUUACUACCCUUGACGCAUGUCACGGAAUCCGAAGAGAUUUGGGAGUGCUCGCAAGAGAACCGGAACACAGGUGCUGCAUAUGUGGCUGUCGUCAGCUCGUGUAGUGAGAUGUUGGGUUAAGUCCGCAACGAGCGCAACCCUUGUCAUUAGUUGCUACGAAAGGGCACUCUAAUGAGACUGCCGGUGACAAACCGGAGGAAGGUGGGGAUGACGUCAAGUCCUCAUGGCCCUUAUGCAGGUGAGCUUCACACGAUAUACAAUGGUCGGGACAAGGGUCGUAACCACGCGAGGGGGCCUGUCCAAGAAACCCGAUCGUAGUCCGGAUCUGCUGAUCUGCAACUCGGCGCGGGUAGAGUCGGGGAUCGCUAGUAAUCGCGGAUCAGCAUGUCGCGGUGAAUACGUUCCCGGGUCUUGUACACACCGCCGUCACACCAUGGGAGUGGGUUUUACCAAGUGAGUUAGCCUAACCGUAAGGGCGAUUACCACGGUAAGGAUUCAUGACUGGGGUGAAGUCAUGCGCAAAGUAG
RNAcentral lists this ribosomal RNA (1463 nucleotides) under uncultured Bordetella sp. Its description in RNAcentral is "partial 16S-23S ribosomal RNA intergenic spacer". It matches the Rfam family "Bacterial small subunit ribosomal RNA". The record is from RNAcentral. Lineage: Bacteria; Pseudomonadati; Pseudomonadota; Betaproteobacteria; Burkholderiales; Alcaligenaceae.